GUCACUCCAUCUGAAGUUCAACCCUCUGACCUCAACACCUCUGACAUUACCCCUCCAAACACUUCCGCUGAACCUCCAACUCUCAACCUAAGCCCGCCCAACUCUCCACCUCAACCAUCUGAACCAGAACAUUCCCUGCCAACCCUAGAGGAAGCAAUUAUGUUGUUUGCAGGAGCAUCAGUUUAAAAGGUCAAGUCUCUG
RNAcentral lists this long non-coding RNA (201 nucleotides) under Lathyrus oleraceus (garden pea). RNAcentral describes it as "Pisum sativum (pea) long non-coding RNA (PSAT_LNC001229)". Lineage: Eukaryota; Viridiplantae; Streptophyta; Magnoliopsida; Fabales; Fabaceae. The record is from RNAcentral.